This 48-nucleotide transfer RNA is filed under the name Podarcis lilfordi (Lilford's wall lizard). RNAcentral describes it as "partial tRNA-Thr". The record is from RNAcentral. Lineage: Eukaryota; Metazoa; Chordata; Lepidosauria; Squamata; Lacertidae.
GUCCUAGUAGCUUAAAACUAAAGCACUGGUCUUGUAAACCAAAAACUG